GUGUGUGAGAGAGCAGAUCCUGCUGCAAAUCCUGGUGACACUCAUGUCUGCAUUUCUAAGGAAAAGCUGCCUGACAAUAAGUAAUUCCAUGGACUGACAUCAAAAUACCUUCCAUCAAAACCAUGCCAUUUUCUAGGAGAAUCCACCCUUGCUACUGUGCAAACUAAGCUGUUACCCGACUUUUGCAUCACUGUUGAAGACACCUCAGCCCUUACCUGGAAAAAUUGGAUGAAGAGGCAAGGAGUCCCAGCAAAUGAAGAACAAAAGAGGGUCAAUGGAAGAGAGAGCCAGGCCAGCAGCUCCUGCUCAACAGGGCAAAAUCCUCAGUGUGGAGCUGCAGGAGUAAGUGAGCAG
RNAcentral lists this long non-coding RNA (354 nucleotides) under Zonotrichia albicollis (white-throated sparrow). RNAcentral describes it as "lncRNA (ENSZALG00000017995.1)". The record is from RNAcentral. Lineage: Eukaryota; Metazoa; Chordata; Aves; Passeriformes; Passerellidae.